UACGAAGGGAGCUAGCGUUACUCGGAAUUAUUGGGCGUAAAGCGUGCGUAGGCGGUUUUAUAAGUCAGAAGUGAAAGCCUGGGGCUCAACCCCAGAAUUGCUUUUGAAACUGUGAAACUUGAGUAUCAGAGAGGAUAGUGGAAUUCCUAGUGUAGAAGUGAAAUUCGUAGAUAUUAGGAGGAACAUCGGUGGCGAAGGCGGCUAUCUGGCUGAAUACUGACGCUGUUGCACGAAAGCGUGGGGAGCAAACAGG
Molecule: ribosomal RNA, 253 nt
Filed under: uncultured bacterium
Lineage: Bacteria
Description: partial 16S ribosomal RNA
Rfam family: Bacterial small subunit ribosomal RNA
Source: RNAcentral